RNAcentral lists this ribosomal RNA (309 nucleotides) under uncultured soil bacterium. RNAcentral describes it as "bacterial SSU rRNA". It matches the Rfam family "Bacterial small subunit ribosomal RNA", at positions 26 to 363 of the family's 1533-position model. The record is from RNAcentral.
AGAACGAACGCUGGCGGCAUGCCUAAUACAUGCAAGUCGAACGAAGGCUUCGGCCAUAGUGGCGCACGGGUGCGUAACGCGUGGGAAUCUGCCCCUUGGUUCGGAAUAACAGUUGGAAACGACUGCUAAUACCGGAUGAUGACGAAAGUCCAAAGAUUUAUCGCCCAGGGAUGAGCCCGCGUAGGAUUAGCUAGUUGGUGAGGUAAAGGCUCACCAAGGCGACGAUCCUUAGCUGGUCUGAGAGGAUGAUCAGCCACACUGGGACUGAGACACGGCCCAGACUCCUACGGGAGGCAGCAGUAGGGAAUA